This 305-nucleotide ribosomal RNA is filed under the name uncultured bacterium. Its description in RNAcentral is "bacterial SSU rRNA". It matches the Rfam family "Bacterial small subunit ribosomal RNA", at positions 335 to 657 of the family's 1533-position model. The record is from RNAcentral.
UGCCCUACGGGGCGCAGCAGUGGGGAAUAUUGCACAACGGGGGAAACCCUGAUGCAGCGACGCCGCGUGAAGGAUGAAGUAUUUCGGUAUGUAAACUUCUAUCAGCAGGGAAGAAAAUGACGGUACCUGACUAAGAAGCCCCGGCUAACUACGUGCCAGCAGCCGCGGCAAUACGUAGGGGGCAAGCGUUAUCCGGAUUUACUGGGUGUAAAGGGAGCGUAGACGGUAUGGCACGUCUGAUGCGAAAACCCGGGGCUCAACCCCGGGACUGCAUUGGAAAAUGCCGACCUAGAGUGUCGGAGAGG